GACGAACGCUGGCGGCGUGCUUAACACAUGCAAGUCGAACGGAAAGGCCCUGCUUUCGUGGGAUGCUCGAGUGGCGAACGGGUGAGUAACACGUGAGUAACCUGCCCUUGACUUUGGGAUAACUUCAGGAAACUGGGGCUAAUACCGGAUAGGCGCUCCUGCUGCAUGGUGGGGGUUGGAAAGUUUCGGCGGUUGGGGAUGGACUCGCGGCUUAUCAGCUUGUUGGUGGGGUAGUGGCUUACCAAGGCUUUGACGGGUAGCCGGCCUGAGAGGGUGACCGGCCACAUUGGGACUGAGAUACGGCCCAGACUCCUACGGGAGGCAGCAGUGGGGAAUAUUGCACAAUGGGCGGAAGCCUGAUGCAGGAACGCCGCGGGCGGGAUGACGGCCUUCGGGUGGUAAACCGCUUUCGCCUGUGACGAAGCGUGAGUGACGGUAAUGGGUAAAGAAGCACCGGCUAACUACGUG
This 468-nucleotide ribosomal RNA is filed under the name uncultured bacterium. Its description in RNAcentral is "partial 16S ribosomal RNA". It matches the Rfam family "Bacterial small subunit ribosomal RNA", at positions 28 to 507 of the family's 1533-position model. The record is from RNAcentral.